GCAGUGGAAGUGAAGGAGCCUAAAUCGACCCCCUUCUUUUUUCUUUGAAAAAAGCAGUAAUGAGUAAGGAGAUUAAACUCUCGAAUGAGACUAAGCAGCUACCGACCGUUCCGACGCGCCCUUGACCUAUUUUGAUUAAGACCAAAAACCUAUCUCUAAAGUGGAGCCUAGUUUAAGCUGUCAAACAAGUGAUGAUUGAAUGA
This 203-nucleotide long non-coding RNA is filed under the name Solanum tuberosum (potato). Its description in RNAcentral is "long non-coding RNA (STUB_LNC009801)". The record is from RNAcentral. Lineage: Eukaryota; Viridiplantae; Streptophyta; Magnoliopsida; Solanales; Solanaceae.